This 1963-nucleotide long non-coding RNA is filed under the name Anas platyrhynchos platyrhynchos (common mallard). Its description in RNAcentral is "lncRNA (ENSAPLG00000025868.1)". Lineage: Eukaryota; Metazoa; Chordata; Aves; Anseriformes; Anatidae. The record is from RNAcentral.
CUUUGGUAAAAAUAUCGGUUUUCUUAUCGUAAGAGGAAGCUCAGAACCUAAAUAGUGGCUGCAGUACAUAACACCAGACCCUAUCAGAGUAUAAAAUCUUGCUGUGGUGGCAGUUCAGGUUAUGUUCCCUUCACGAGGAGCACUGAGCAGCACCCUGAGUUCAGCAGAGAGUCUGCAGAAAAGGGGUAUCCAGGUAUUAAUCAUUCAUCGCAAUGCUUCAUAAAAGAAAUCUCAGUGAAAACAAAAGCAGAAAACCCAACUAUUCUGAGAAGCACUUUAAAGUAGCACUAGUUUCAGCUACCAGGUAUUUGCACUAUCAAUCAAAAUAUAUUUAUUUAUCAGUUGGAUCAUAUAUUAAAGCACCAAGCUAUGCAGAAUAAGAGGCAGAAGAGAAAUAUUGAAAGUAUACAUAACAAAAAUACUAAAGCCUACACUUCCUGGAAAUAAUACAUAAAUGUCAUUUGCUGACAGAAAAACAGAUUGUUGUAAAAGGAACUCCAGAAAUGACCUGACAUCAGAAUCACAAUUUCCUGUGUCACAGCCUCCUGAAAUUAGGACCAGUGCAAUAGUCCAUGUUUUUGCUGAAAUGUCAUCUAGAAGAUUCACAGUUCCUCUGAAAGACUUAGAAAAAGUGACCUACAAAAACAGAUAAGAUCUGAACCGGAGAAAGGACACCUCACCCUUCAUGAACGGGUCACGUCUGGCAAGAGCAGCUGCAAAUGAGACUCUUCUUGAAAGCUACAGGGACAUGAUGGGCUCUAAGCAUUUUGAAGAAACUUCUGACCUUGAGCUAAGACAGGUAAGGGAGGACGUAUAUAUUCCUAGUUCAUGAAAACUGCACAUUCACAAUGGCUUGCUUAUCAUUUUACAAGCAGUAACUACAGUGUUCAUAGUCAUGUGAAUAAGGUCCUGUUUCAGCAAGACAUUUCAGUUUGUGUUUAACAUUUAAUAAGAACUCACGUGUUCUUUGAAGUGAAAGGUGGACUUCCAGGCCAGUUUUGCAGCAACCAAAAGUACUGCCUCCUUUGCUGAUGGAAGUAGCCUUUCAUAACCAUAGGAAAACUUCACAAAAAUUUGUGGUAUUAGAUCAGUAUUCCCAAUGCAGCAGAAAUUAAACGUGGCAAGAAUGGACCCUUUGGUGCAGGAAAACAACAAAAAAAAGCUAUCAGAAAAUUAGCACUGAUUGCACUCUUGGAUACACUUUUGAGAGAGGAAAAAAAAUAUAGAAGGCUUAAUCAAAAUGUACAGUGCAGGAAAAUGGCACCUGCCUCAAGGAACUUACCACUGAAGCUUUAAACAAGAGACAACAUAUACACUGAGGCAGAUAGGAAUCAAAGCUGCAUAUCAUCCCGAUGAGUAUAGUCUCUUUUGCGCACAGUUACAAUUUCCCCCAGGUAACAGGGCUACUUUAAAGAAAAAAAAAAAAGAAAUGUAUUGUGCCAAAAAAUCUUCCCCAUUCUCGUAGCAAAUUCUGAGUUAGCAUUGCACAUGACAUUGUUAAUUUAUUAGAUAUCAUCAAGAUUAGCUAUAUUUUACAGAUAUGAAGGUGUGUUCAGACUCGGUGCAAUGUUAUUGACCCCAGAGCUAAUACAGUUGCUUAAAUCAGGGCAGAACUGAUCAAGUACUGCUUUCCACUUGGACUUAAACCAGACAUCAUAAAGAUACGAAUUACACGAAACAUGAUUUUAGGCCUCUAUCUCCUACUGAUCAUCCUACAUGUAAUUAUUGUCUUCUUUCUAAAAGAGAUACAUAUAUAACCUGAUUUUUUUUUCUGGUAGCUUUUACCCAUGUGUAUCCUUUGGAAUACUCAAAUGAGCUUUUUAAUUUAUCAUGUCGAUCUAUGAAGAUUUAUAGAAACAAAUCCUAUAGAUAUGAGCAGAACAUAAUGGAGCAUCCCCCACUGUUUUUUCAACCAUUUUCUUUAAAUAUUUCCUUUAAUAAAAAAAAUUACAGUCCUCCUUCA